This is a long non-coding RNA of Populus euphratica (Euphrates poplar), 836 nucleotides long. RefSeq lists it as uncharacterized. The record is from RefSeq and is a predicted model, not a curated record. NCBI's taxonomy places the organism in Eukaryota, Viridiplantae, Streptophyta, Magnoliopsida, Malpighiales, Salicaceae. The transcript has 2 exons.
AAGCAAGAGAUUAGGUGUUUUCAAUGUCAAGAGCUUGGACAUUAUACACAUGAAUGUCCAAAUAAUAGAAUUAUGAUUAUAUGAGAUGAUGGUGAGUUGAAAUCAGCUAGUGAGGCUCAUUUGAAGGGGAUGUCAAAGCUCAAUGAUUGUAGUGAUGUGGAGUAUGUUGUGCAAGGAGAGUCAUUGAUUAUAAGAAGAUCUUUAAGUGUUCAAGUUUAUGAUGAGGAUGUAGAGCAACAUAGGUAGAAUAUCUUUCAUACUAAGUGCUACAUUGAUAAUAAAAUAUGUAGUAUGAUAAUUGAUAAUGGUAGUUAUACUAAUGUUGCCAGCUCAACUUUGAUUAGAAAGUUGAACCUAAAUGCAUAUAAAAUAUGUUAAGUCAUAUAAGCUUUAGUGGUUGAAUGAAUUUGAAGAAGUUAGGGCAACUAAGCAGUUUUUGGCUUCAUUCAUAGUAGGAAAGUUAAAGAAUAAGGUUGUAUGUGAUGUUGUUCCUGUGAAUGCUACACACAUAUUGUUGAGGAGACCUUGACAAUUUAAUAGGAAGACCAAGCAUGAUAGAUUCAGAAAAAGGUAUAUUGCGGAGAAAUAUGGAAAGAUUUACACGCUCCAUUGUCACCAAGGCAAGUAUAUGUGGAUCAAUUAAAGUUUAAGAAAGUUGAGGAAGCUGAACAAGAAUUUAUAAAAAAUAAUGAUGAGGAUGUGUGAGGUCGAGUGAAAAUAAGAUGAGUCAUGAGUGUGAAACAAUUGAGGAGAGAGUUUUAGCCAUUAGAGAUAGGUUUGAAGAUUUUGGCCAAAAAAAAGAAGAAAACAUAUGGAAGGCCAAAAGUGGAGAGAAG